GUGGGGAAUAUUGGACAAUGGGCGAAAGCCUGAUCCAGCCAUGCCGCGUGUGUGAAGAAGGUCUUCGGAUUGUAAAGCACUUUAAGUUGGGAGGAAGGGCAGUAAGUUAAUACCUUGCUGUUUUGACGUUACCGACAGAAUAAGCACCGGCUAACUUCGUGCCAGCAGCCGCGGUAAUACGAAGGGUGCAAGCGUUAAUCGGAAUUACUGGGCGUAAAGCGCGCGUAGGUGGUUUUGUAAGUUGGAGGUGAAAUCCCCGGGCUCAACCUGGGAACUGCCUCCAAAACUGCAUGACUAGAGUACGGUAGAGGGUAGUGGAAUUUCCUGUGUAGCGGUGAAAUGCGUAGAUAUAGGAAGGAACACCAGUGGCGAAGGCGACUACCUGGACUGAUACUGACACUGAGGUGCGAAAGCAUGGGGAGCAAACAGGAUUAGAUACCCCAGUAGUCC
Molecule: ribosomal RNA, 450 nt
Filed under: uncultured bacterium
Lineage: Bacteria
Description: bacterial SSU rRNA
Rfam family: Bacterial small subunit ribosomal RNA
Source: RNAcentral